This 372-nucleotide ribosomal RNA is filed under the name uncultured organism. RNAcentral describes it as "partial 16S ribosomal RNA". It matches the Rfam family "Bacterial small subunit ribosomal RNA", at positions 527 to 896 of the family's 1533-position model. The record is from RNAcentral.
GUAGGGUGCAAGCGUUAAUCGGAAUUACUGGGGCGUAAAGCGUGCGCAGGCGGUUGUGCAAGACAGAUGUGAAAUCCCCGGGGCUCAACCUGGGGAAUUGCAUUUGUGACUGCACGGCUAGAGUGUGUCAGAGGGGGGUAGAAUUCCACGUGUAGCAGUGAAAUGCGUAGAGAUGUGGAGGAAUACCGAUGGCGAAGGCAGCCCCCUGGGAUAACACUGACGCUCAUGCACGAAAGCGUGGGGAGCAAACAGGAUUAGACACCCUGGUAGUCCACGCCCUAAACGAUGUCAACUAGUUGUCGGGUCUUAAUUGACUUGGUAACGCAGCUAACGCGUGAAGUUGACCGCCUGGGGAGUACGGUCGCAAGAUUA